Molecule: ribosomal RNA, 269 nt
Filed under: uncultured prokaryote
Description: partial 16S ribosomal RNA
Rfam family: Bacterial small subunit ribosomal RNA
Source: RNAcentral
UACGUAGGUGGCGAGCGUUAUCCGGAAUUAUUGGGCGUAAAGAGCGCGCAGGUGGUUGAUUAAGUCUGAUGUGAAGGCCCACGGCUUAACCGUGGAGGGUCAUUGGAAACUGGUCGACUUGAGUGCAGAAGAGGGAAGUGGAAUUCCAUGUGUAGCGGUGAAAUGCGUAGAGAUAUGGAGGAACACCAGUGGCGAAGGCGGCUUCCUGGUCUGUAACUGACACUGAGGCGCGAAAGCGUGGGGAGCAAACAGGAUUAGAUACCCCGGUA